RNAcentral lists this unclassified non-coding RNA (336 nucleotides) under soil metagenome. RNAcentral describes it as "partial contains 5.8S ribosomal RNA, internal transcribed spacer 2, and large subunit ribosomal RNA". The stretch from base 1 to 120 matches the Rfam family "5.8S ribosomal RNA", at positions 35 to 154 of the family's 154-position model. The record is from RNAcentral.
GAUGAAGAACGCAGCGAAAUGCGAUAAGUAGUGUGAAUUGCAGAAUUCAGUGAAUCAUCGAAUCUUUGAACGCACAUUGCGCCCCUUGGUAUUCCAUGGGGCAUGCCUGUUCGAGCGUCAUUUGUACCUUCAAGCUUUGCUUGGUGUUGGGUGUUUGUCUCGCCUUUGCGUGUAGACUCGCCUUAAAAUAAUUGGCAGCCGGCGUAUUGAUUUCGGAGCGCAGUACAUCUCGCGCUUUGCACUCAUAACGACAGCGUCCAAAAGUACAUUUUACACUCUUGACCUCGGAUCAGGUAGGCAUACCCGCUGAACUUAAGCAUAUCAAUAAGCGGAGGA